UCUCAAGUGAUCCUCCCACCUUGGCCUCCCAAAGUGCUGGGAUUACAGGCACAAGCCACCAUGCCCAGCCUCAACAAGGACUUUAAGGGGUCCGGACAGCAAGAAGUCAAAAAAACUCUGCUCUAGGGUGAGGACACAAAACUCUGCCUGGAGAGAUCCAUGGGGGGGACUGUGGCGCCCCAGCAGACAGCCACGGCAGCAAGGCCCCUAAGGGCUGCCAGCCAGUCACCACUGGUGGCAGUGCAGGAAUAACCUGUGGGGCCAAAGCCCCACCCACCAGCUCACAGAUGCGGGAAAGGUGAUGAGUCCUCAUUCUAGGCCCAGAAGUUCCAGGGUUGAUUACUCAGAAAGAGGUAAGCAAGACCCACCCACAGCCAAGCCAGGGGCUGCUGAGCCACGCCCAAGAUUAGAGACUUGUGCGUUUGGUGCAGUGCCUGACACCUGACCCUGGUGGCUGACCAUGCGGCCUGCCUGCCAGUCGUGGGCGUGGGAUGCACACCACACCCUGGCCGCACUGCCUGUGCCAGGGGCAGAAGCAGGGACCAUGAAGUCGUGUGUUCUGCUGAGAGCAUCAACCAGAGCAGAGCCGCUCAGGAGGGCACACGGUGCUGCAGGCCUAGCAUGUCACACGCAGAGCCGAGGCCGCCCGCUGGGAAGCCCACCGCCGGCAGGGAGCGCAGCCUACACACCGAAUGAUGCCUCACGAUGGCUGCCAAAUUGAGAGCAAUGUGACCUGCCACCGAAGCCUCCUGAGCGCACUCUGAGGUCUCCUCGCUGUUCCUCCCGUCCUCAGACGGUCCCCCGUGCCCAAAUGAGCUCAAGGGCUUUGCUGGCACAGCUCUUCAGCUCGGAGGCGAUGCAGGUGAUACACAGCCAGGCUCACUGGUUCUGCUCACAGAGGCUUCCCUCCCUGCCCCUUCAUCUAUUCAACUGAUACAGGAGCUGAGUCACAUGCACUCCUGCUGGCUAAAUUUGACACAGCCCAUUCAUCAAAAUAUCAUUAAAGACGACAAUCGACUGAAAAAUAUUAAAUAAAUAAAAACCCACACGUCCGUGGAACCAUGAGCGGGAGGAGGCAAAGGCAGCCCUUCUGAGACAAGGCACCAGGGAGCCAGGGCUCCCUCCACAGGCCUGCAUGGCGAGUACCCUCCCUCACCUCCACAGGUCUCAGCUCAACGGCACCUUCUCAAAGAGGCCUUCUAGAGCCCCUACUCUAACAGCUCUCCAGGCACCCCAUCUCACACCUCCUUACCUCCGUCCCCCUCCAGGCACCCCAUCCCACACCUCCUUACCUCCGUCCCCCUCGGCUCUCCCGCACACUCCCUCCAGGCACCCCAUCCCACACCUCCUUACUUCCAUCCCCCUCGGCUCCCCUGUGCACCCCCUCCAGGCACCCCAUCCCACACCUCCUUACUUCUGUCCCCCUCGGCAGUGGGGAAGCUGCCCAGGGGUGGCCCGUUGCCUCUGUUUAUGCGUGUCCCGAGCACUCAGAGCAGGCGGCACGCAUGCAGGUCUCCAAGAGGAACCUGACUCAACCCAGAUUCUCAGGCCCACGCUCUUGUGUUUCAUGACACUGCUGCUAUGACAAAUGGUCCUGUCACAUGUGGCACAAAGAACAGGGCACGCAGUAGAAGGGCAGACAUGCUGGGAGGAGGAACCCAAAGCAGCCUCCCAUGUAGAGGGCCGGCCGCAGACUAUGGGGAGAGGCCAGGGCUGUGCAUGACAAACUCAACACAGACAAGCCAUGCUCACACCAGCAGCUUUCAACCCACGCCCAAGCUAAUUUUAUGCUCCCUGGGCUCACGCCCAGGCCUGGCCCCAGGCUCAGGCAUCCGGCUCCUCAGGGCCACCUGGCACCAUCAGGCCUUUCCAUGGGCUGAGGACAAAUCCCAGCAAAGCAGGAGUUAGGAGCUUCCACAGACGGUGCAGGCCAAACCCCGAGACAACAGCCCCACGUGGGCUCCUGAGACUAUGCUGCUGUGGGGAUAGGGUCUGCCAACCCACAGCCUGCACAGCCACCAUGUCUGGAGGGGAAGAGGCGCUGCUGAAAGGGUGCUUGGAAGAAAAGUCUCCCAACCUUGCAAAGGUCACAGGCAAAAGGGAAACAGCAUGGUGCCUCUGUGCUUUCCAACCCUCCAGCUCGCCUGCUUUCUGCAGGGAAAAGCUGAAUACCUUUGUGGGAGCUCUUUGCCUCCCCGCCUGCCACAGCAAAAUGCUCGAUGACACAGACCAAAACCACCACCAGACAGGGCAAAAAACAGGAGCUGUGGCACUUAGCUCCCUCACGUUAGCCUCGGGACAUCCGCAAACAACUGCAGGGAUGAAUAAACACACAUUCCAGCCAGGGAGCUUCAAAGAGAAGGGAGCCAGGGACAGCAAUGCGAGUGUGGCCACAGUCCACGGGCCAAGCAAUGCCACAGAUCACACGCGGCCUGGAAGACCUGCCCACCAUCUCCUUCUUUUCCCUUUAACCUUCCACAUUUUGUUUGUACCAAUUGUUUCUACUUCCGCUGAACACCAAUGGGUGUGCCCCAGCCAGGAGAAAUCCUGUGCAGAGAAAAAACAAACACGGUGAAGGCAAAGAAUGGGAGGCCCUUCUGGCCAAGACAGACGGGAACAGCACACGCCCUUCCCUUCCAGACAGGUCUAGCACUGGCAGGAGGCUGCACACACACAAAUCACCACGGAGAAACAAAGGCCAUGGCCCUGCGGCUCCCAACCAGCACUCAGUGGCCCUAACAAAAGUUGCAGUGGGCCCUGAUGUUUCUAACCCACACCGUGUGGACAAAGGAAACACUGGGGUGACAGUGGCACGGCACGGAGCUCCUCCCUCACAGUGGCCUCAACGCCCCUCUUACCAUACCAGAUGACCACAGCAGAGACCACGGCUGCCUCUGGAGGGGGUCUGCUGGUGCACCACACCCCUGUUCGAUCUGACAGCAGCACUUGGCAGGCAGACCCCUAGUGUGGCUGGCUUUCCCAGGGCUGGGGGAGGCCUUCACGAGUCAGGACACAAGGGUGGCACCUGGUGGUGGCAACACCAAAGCAAAGACCCGAGGUGGGGACUGCACUGUCUCAGAUACACUCACGAUGAGAAACGCAGUCCUGCUGUUUACCAGCCCCCGAACCACGGACGCCGCCUGGGGGCUGCACCGUCUCAGAUACACUCAAGAUGAGAAACACAGUCCUGCUGUUUACCAGCCCCCCAACCACGGACGCCGCCUGCAGCUCCCCUGGGGGGCUCACCCCCAGCUUCAAGGACACGUGUGCAAGGGUUCCUAGGGGGUUUAUGGGGAGGCUCCUUCUAAAAAGGGCUCCAGGUAUCCACGACCAUUGCUUUUUUUUUUUUAACUGUCACCCA
Cercocebus atys (sooty mangabey) is the source of this 3361-nucleotide long non-coding RNA. RefSeq lists it as uncharacterized. The record is from RefSeq and is a predicted model, not a curated record. Lineage: Eukaryota; Metazoa; Chordata; Mammalia; Primates; Cercopithecidae. The transcript is spliced from 2 exons.